AGUGGGAUAACUGAGUCAGAUGGUGGUUCUGUUCCAAGUUUUCUGAGGAAUUUCUAUACUGCUUUCCAGAGUGGUUGUACCAAUUUGUAGUCCCACUAGCAAU
This 103-nucleotide microRNA precursor is filed under the name Marmota monax (woodchuck). Lineage: Eukaryota; Metazoa; Chordata; Mammalia; Rodentia; Sciuridae. The record is from RNAcentral.